Ribosomal RNA from Lupinus angustifolius (narrow-leaved blue lupine), 117 nucleotides. The record is from Rfam. NCBI's taxonomy places the organism in Eukaryota, Viridiplantae, Streptophyta, Magnoliopsida, Fabales, Fabaceae.
GAUUGCGAUCAUACCAGCACUAAUGCACCGGAUCCCAUCAGAACUCCGCAGUCAAGCGUGCUUGGGCGAGAGUAGUACUAGGAUGGGUCCUUCUACGAAGUCCUCGUGUUGCACCUC